GUUUUUCUAGGUAUGCAAUGUGGCUUCAUUACAUAACCUGGCAUUAUGUUGUCCAAAAAGAAGCCUAGUACUCCUGCUGUGCUCGUGCUCAUGAGAACAGUGACUAUCUAACUGAAGAUAUGCAAUCGCCUGUAAAUAUCAAGAUGGGCUUUCAUCCAUUGUGAAGGGGAAGGAAAGUGAACUAUCAUGGGGGGUGAUCUUCAUACCAAGGAUGCUGUGUGUGUCCUCUCAGUGAUCCUAGGUCAAUACUGAGGGGAUCUAAUAAAGGGCUGUAAUGGUUGCAGAAAAACGAGCCAUUUGCUGCAAUUACGUGCAGGAAUAGUGGAUACUUGGGAUAUCAAAACACAGCUGCUGAUGUAUCUGUAAGAUGUGGCCUAGCACUUACCACAUUCAUAUCACAUUGAUCCUUACUUUACUAAUGGCAUUAACGGAC
Long non-coding RNA from Daphnia carinata, 433 nucleotides. RefSeq lists it as uncharacterized. NCBI's taxonomy places the organism in Eukaryota, Metazoa, Arthropoda, Branchiopoda, Diplostraca, Daphniidae. The record is from RefSeq and is a predicted model, not a curated record. The transcript is spliced from 3 exons.